CCCGCACAAGCAGCGGAGCGUGUGGUUUAAUUCGUUGCUACACGAAGAACCUUACCUGGGUUUGACAUAUAGGUUGUAGGGAACUGAAAAGGGACCGACCCUUCGGGGAGCCUAUACAGGUGUUGCAUGGCUGUCGUCAGCUCGUGUCGUGAGAUGUUCGGUUAAGUCCGCUAACGAGCGCAACCCUCGUCGUAUGUUAUAUGUGUCAUACGAGACUGCCGGUAAAAGCCGGAGGAAGGUGAGGAUGAUGUCAAGUCAGCAUGACCUUUAUAUCCAGGGCUACACACACGCUACAAUGGUCUGUACAAUGGGUAGCCAAGCCGCGAGGCGGAGCCAAUCCUGAAAGCAGGCCUCAGUUCAGAUUGCAGUCUGCAACUCGACUGCAUGAAGCCGGAGUUGCUAGUAACCGCAGGUCAGCAAUACUGCGGUGAAUACGUUCCCGGGUCUU
This 448-nucleotide ribosomal RNA is filed under the name uncultured Anaerolineaceae bacterium. Its description in RNAcentral is "bacterial SSU rRNA". It matches the Rfam family "Bacterial small subunit ribosomal RNA", at positions 920 to 1382 of the family's 1533-position model. Lineage: Bacteria; Bacillati; Chloroflexota; Anaerolineae; Anaerolineales; Anaerolineaceae. The record is from RNAcentral.